Molecule: long non-coding RNA, 858 nt
Organism: Xyrauchen texanus (razorback sucker)
Lineage: Eukaryota; Metazoa; Chordata; Actinopteri; Cypriniformes; Catostomidae
Exons: 4
Source: RefSeq, a predicted model, not a curated record
UACACACAUAGACAAACAAAGUCUGCUUAACACAUCUAUGAAAGAGUCACAGUGAAUAUGCUGACAGAUGUUGUUGACCUUUUAAUGAUGUUGUGAGAGCUCUCUCCAGGAUGUACUUCAACUGACAGACUACAGAGCCCCUGAGAGUACAGAGGAAGAGGGCCGGUCCACGAUCAGAAUAUAUAUCAUCUACUUCACCUGUCUCUUCACUUGCCUCUGAGAAAAAUCACAUCUUUGAAUCUUAAACUCCUCUACAGCAGACAGACUCAAUGAAGUUCGCUGUGUUUCUGUGUGGACUCCUGCUGGUCUUUCUGGGCCUGCUCUUUUUUCUUCCUCAUUGGACACAACCUGUGGAAGAAGGGACUGUGACCAACACCACUGAAAAGAGCUAUCCUCAUCAGUGUGCUACAGCCAUCAAUGUCACAAAGGAGCAAUGUCUGAGUACAUCUAAGAACAACACAACUCAUCCACCGCAAAGGCUAUUGCAAAUGGAGUUCAAAGAGGAUUUUUAUUGGAUUUGGAAUCCUCACAUUAUGUAUUAAUAUUUUUUUAAAGAACCAAUUUUCAAGCUUUGCUUUAUGAAACAUUUAUUUUCAACAGUGCAUUCAUUUUCAUUCUAAUACAGAUGGAAAUAUUUAAACAGUAUUGUGUACAUAUCUUGUGAUGUCUAUUAAAUGGCUUUUGGUCCCUUGAGCUUGCAUUUAGACACAUUUACAUGUUCACAUUGCCUUAAUGCAUGUUUGUUAGAUUUCAUGGAAACCAGCAUGGUGAGUGUCACCACUAUGUGACCUGCAAAAGGUGAUUACUCAAAGAAUUAACUCAUGUAUCAAACAUAAAUAAUCCAUCAAUGAAUAAAUC